This 497-nucleotide ribosomal RNA is filed under the name uncultured bacterium. RNAcentral describes it as "partial 16S ribosomal RNA". It matches the Rfam family "Bacterial small subunit ribosomal RNA", at positions 28 to 507 of the family's 1533-position model. The record is from RNAcentral.
GAUGAACGCUGGCGGCGUGCCUAAUACAUGCAAGUCGAGCGAACAGAUAAGGAGCUUGCUCCUUUGACGUUAGCGGCGGACGGGUGAGUAACACGUGGGUAACCUACCUAUAAGACUGGGAUAACUUCGGGAAACCGGAGCUAAUACCGGAUAACAUUUGGAACCGCAUGGUUCUAAAGUGAAAGAUGGUUUUGCUAUCACUUAUAGAUGGACCCGCGCCGUAUUAGCUAGUUGGUAAGGUAACGGCUUACCAAGGCGACGAUACGUAGCCGACCUGAGAGGGUGAUCGGCCACACUGUAACUGAGACACGGUCCAGACUCCUACGGGAGGCAGCAGUAGGGAAUCUUCCGCAAUGGGCGAAAGCCUGACGGAGCAACGCCGCGUGAGUGAUGAAGGGUUUCGGCUCGUAAAACUCUGUUAUUAGGGAAGAACAAAUGUGUAAGUAACUGUGCACGUCUUGACGGUACCUAAUCAGAAAGCCACGGCUAACUACGUG